GCUGGCGGCGUGCCUAAUACAUGCAAGUCGAGCGAAUCGACGGGAGCUUGCUCCCUGAGAUUAGCGGCGGACGGGUGAGUAACACGUGGGCAACCUGCCUAUAAGACUGGGAUAACUUCGGGAAACCGGAGCUAAUACCGGAUACGUUCUUUUCUCGCAUGAGAGAAGAUGGAAAGACGGUUUACGCUGUCACUUAUAGAUGGGCCCGCGGCGCAUUAGCUAGUUGGUGAGGUAAUGGCUCACCAAGGCGACGAUGCGUAGCCGACCUGAGAGGGUGAUCGGCCACACUGGGACUGAGACACGGCCCAGACUCCUACGGGAGGCAGCAGUAGGGAAUCUUCCGCAAUGGACGAAAGUCUGACGGAGCAACGCCGCGUGAACGAAGAAGGCCUUCGGGUCGUAAAGUUCUGUUGUUAGGGAAGAACAAGUACCAGAGUAACUGCUGGUACCUUGACGGUACCUAACCAGAAAGCCACGGCUAACUACGUGCCAGCAGCCGCGGUAAUACGUAGGUGGCAAGCGUUGUCCGGAAUUAUUGGGCGUAAAGCGCGCGCAGGUGGUUCCUUAAGUCUGAUGUGAAAGCCCACGGCUCAACCGUGGAGGGUCAUUGGAAACUGGGGAACUUGAGUGCAGAAGAGGAAAGUGGAAUUCCAAGUGUAGCGGUGAAAUGCGUA
RNAcentral lists this ribosomal RNA (674 nucleotides) under Bacillus sp. 171(2010). RNAcentral describes it as "bacterial SSU rRNA". It matches the Rfam family "Bacterial small subunit ribosomal RNA", at positions 35 to 692 of the family's 1533-position model. Lineage: Bacteria; Bacillati; Bacillota; Bacilli; Caryophanales; Bacillaceae. The record is from RNAcentral.